CACAUAAGAAAAUAGUAAAGGCCUUGUAGCUUUACCUAGGUGAAAUCUCCAUUGCAAUGUUUAAAAACUCCAGAGUCAAAAAAUAAAACUGAUCAGAAAAACAUUAACCUAGGUUUGUAUGAGCUCAAAAAUAAAAUAGAACUUUAUGAUGUGGGAAAAAUGCAAUAAUAAAAUAGAUAUUGAAAAAAGCAUCCUGGUUAAUCACUGUCGCAGAUGUAAAAAUGGCCAAGCUGGAGUUCUGGAUAUCAGCUGUUAUGGAUUUUGAGUCAAAUCAUCUUCUUUUCGAUCUGUAGAAAUUGUUUUAGUUAAUCUCUCUGGAAUCCAAAUCGGCUGCUGUUCCCCCUGUGGAAACACACAAACAGAGCCCCGACUCCAGACAAUCACUGGGUCAGGACCUUUCCAUUGUCCUGUUAGAAUAUCUUUCCAAAGUACCUUAGGCUUAUGUACAUUUUUGGAUACAUAUGCCUUUCCGCAGCAUUAAGUCCUGAUGAAUCCAAAUUUAAAAAGUUUAGUGUAAAAAGGGUUAUUUUAAGUUUAUCUUUGGGGGAUAUAUACCCCUUAAAGAUCAUUUUAAAUUUAAGUCUUUCAAAAGCAUUCUGCCUUAGUUUUUAGAAUUACUUUAGUCCUUUUAAUUUUUUGAUGUGGUUUUAAACCAAUUUCCUUCUAGUUUAACGUUUUCUAAAUUGGCUCUUGUCUAUAAAUUUUAACACCCUCAUCUGAGACUUCUAAUUUCUGCACCACCAGAAAUUAAAGUUGAUGGGCUUUUUGAAAAAAUUACUAAUAAUCUCCUUGCUCCCAGCAAGUGUGUUUUGGGCUGCUAAAAUAAAGGACCACAGACUGGUGGAUCAAAUAGCAGAUGUUUGUUUCUCACAGUUCUGGAGCCUGGAAGUCCAAGAUCAAGGUGCUGGCAGAUCUGGUGUCUGGUGGGAGGGCCUGCUUACAGAUUUGCUCAGGGUCAUCUUUUGUGCCCUCAGAGAGGAGAGAGGGGAGCCAAGCUUCUAUAGCCUCAGGUCACAGGGCUACCUCCUCAUACCUAAGUCUCCUGUCCCAGGAACACCCAACAAGGGUUAGGGUUUCCUGAUAUGAAUUUUGGGGGAUACAAACAUGAGAUUCAUAACAUUAUACAGAUUUGGUUUGGUUGGUUUUGCUGGGGAUCAAACCCAGCGUCUGGCACAUGCUUAGCAAGCACUGAACUGCUUUGCUGCUCGGCUGUACCCUUGGCCCCAACUGUCCUUUUUCUAAGGUAAACUUGCAUAUAUAAAGGGCAAAUAGCUUACCUGUACAGUUUUGGCAAAUAGACAUUCCCAUGUGAUUAAUGUCACCCUAAAAAAUUUCUUUCUUCUUUCUUUUUUGAAUAUUUUUAGUUGUAGGUGGACACAAUACCUUUAUUUCGUUUAUUUUUCUGUGGUGCUGAGGGUGAAACCCAGUGCCUAACACAUGCUAGGCCAGCACUCACCACUGAGCCACAGCCCCAGCCCCACCCUAGAAAAUUCCUUCCCAUCUCUUUUCAGUCUCCCACUCCCUUCCCAGAUGGCCUCGGCUGUUUUCUUUACUCCCUCCUAGAAUCUCAGACUACGUGUAAUCUCACAUCUGUGUUCUCAUGCCCAGUUCCAUUGGCGCAGCAGAGUUGUCAUGGCUAUCUUAACAGGUUUGUCCCUCUUUUUGCAGGGGGUGGGUACUGGGGAUUGAACUCAGGGCACUUGACCCCUGAGCCACUCCUCAGCCCUAUUUGUAUUUUAUUUAGAGACAGGGUCUCACUGAGUCACUUAGCGCCUUGCUUUUUUGCUGAGUCUGGCUUUGAACUCCUGACCCUCCUGCGGCGACCUCCCAAGCUGCUGGGAUUGCAGGCAUGCACCAUGGAGUCCAGCAGAAGUUUGUCCCUUUUUUAAUGCUGAGUAGUAUUUGUUCCAGUCUGUGACUACAUACAGUUUAUCUGUUCUGUCAGAGGGGUUGUUUUCUGUUGUGGCCAACCGUGAAUAAAGCUGCCAUGAAAGUCCUAAGACUUCUGGAUAUGUAUUUUCUUUUUUCCUACUUAAUUAUUUACAAAUGCAAUCACUGGAUCAAAGGUGGGCAAACAUUAACUUUUUAAGAAACUGUGGCUAGGCCUUUUCCAAAGUCAUUGUAGCUGUGGAUUCCCGCCGGCAAAGAGUAAGUUCCAAAUGCUUCACAUCCUCAGCCAGCAUUUGGUGUUGGGAGCAUUUUUUUUCCCCUUUUUAAUUAAAAAAACAUUUUUUUGGUAGUCGUAGAUGGACAGCAUGCCUUUAUUUUGUUUGUUUGUUUUUAUGUGGAGCUGAGGGUGGAACCCAGGGCCUCAUAGGUGCUAGACAAGUGCUCUGCCAGGAGCCCUAGCCCAGCCCUGGUGUUGGUAGCCUUCUAAGUCAGCUGUUGGCCACUGUGCCUUGUCAUCUAGAGAUUUUGGCCUCCACUUGCUAAUGACCAACAACGAUGACCACCAAUUCACAUGCCUUCUGGCUGUUCAUGUACCUUCCUUUUUGAAGUGUCUGUUCAGACUUUUUUUUUCCUAUUUUAAAUAUUGGGCUAUGUGUCUUUUUAUUGAGUUGUUUGUAGGAGUCCUUUGUAUGUUCUGUGUGUAAAUCCGUCGUUACUUACGUUUUGGGUUAGUUUUUGCAUGUCUGAUUUUCUGGUCCAUUUUCCCUAUGAUUUCUCUCAUUCUAAGAGGAGGAAGGGGAGAGGGCCAGGAAGAGGAGGGAGCUGUGACUGUGGGCAGGGCAGGGCAGGCCAUGAGAGUAGGAGGAGAGCAGAAAAGGAAGAGGAAGGAAUGUCUGUACUAUCUUUGCAUCUUUUGAUGUGCUGGGGUUUUUUUUAACAAUAUUUUUUAGUUGCAGAUGAACACAUAUCUUUAUUUAUUUAUUUAUUUUUAUGUGGUGCUGAGGGUGGAACCCAGGGCCUCACAUAUGCAAAGCAAGCGCUCUACCACUGAGCCCCAGCCCCAGCCCUUUUUUUUUGAUUGAACCCAGGGAUGCUCUACCACUGAGCCUUAUCCCCAGCUCUUUUUAUUUUUUAGUUUGAGACAGGGUCUUGCUAAGUUGCUAAGACUGUCUUUGAACUUAUGAUCCUCCUGCCUCAGCCUCAUAGAGUAGCUGUUAUUACAGGCGUGGCCACCACAUUUGGCUGAUAUGCUGAAAUUUUUUAUGUCAAACCCAGUGUAUGGAAUUAUCUCCUUUUUAUGGUUUUUGUUUUCUGUUCUCAGUCUUAGAAAUCUUUAAUUAUCCCCAGGCUGGGACAAUGCUAUAUUUUCUUCUAAAAAUACAACUUUAACUUUUACAAUUAGGUCCUUAAUCCAUCUCCAAUUAAUUUUUGUGUAUAUUGUAAGGUACAGAGGUCAAGGAUUAUCUUUUCCCCAGUGGAUAUCUAGUUGUUCCAGCAUGAUUUGUUAAAGAUGUUUCUAAAAGAGAAAAAAAAAAUGUUGCUUUUCCUCAUAGGCUGCUUUGUCAGAAGCCAGUUGACUACAAAAGUGUGGGUCUGGGCUGUUUCUCCCUCUGAAGGUGGUCCACAUUCUCCUUUGAAUGUGUAUACCUUGCUUUAUCCUCAAAACUUUUUGUCUUGAGAUGGACCACAUUGUCCCUUGAACGUGCCUCUGCUUUCCUAAAUAAACCUCUGCCUGUGUCUCUGGCUGGUGCAUGCUGAAAUUCUUUUCCAUCACGGAUGUCAAAAACCCUACUGGAACUGAGUUGUUCCUUUCUCUCCAGGAGCUCCUCAGACUCUUCUUCAGAAACUUUUCUUCUCCUGUGACAAUUUUUCCAUCUUAUUCUGAACUAGUUGAUAUCUUUAAAAAUAAAGUGUGUCAUAAAAAAAAGUAUAGGUCUGUCUGGACUCUAUUCUGUUUCAUGGAUCUCUUUGACUUUGACUAUCCUUAUUUCAACUCCCUACUGUUUUUUGUUUUUUUUUUUU
This 3912-nucleotide long non-coding RNA is filed under the name Marmota monax (woodchuck). Lineage: Eukaryota; Metazoa; Chordata; Mammalia; Rodentia; Sciuridae. The record is from RNAcentral.